RNAcentral lists this unclassified non-coding RNA (227 nucleotides) under uncultured fungus. RNAcentral's name for it is "sequence contains ITS1, 5.8S rRNA gene". The stretch from base 179 to 227 matches the Rfam family "5.8S ribosomal RNA", at positions 1 to 49 of the family's 154-position model. Lineage: Eukaryota; Fungi. The record is from RNAcentral.
UCUCCGUAGGUGAACCUGCGGAGGGAUCAUUACUGAGUGAGGGCUCACGCCCGACCUCCAACCCUUUGUGCACACAUCUUGUUGCUUCGGGGGCGACCCUGCCGUUCGCGGCGUGGGCACCCCGGAGCCCAUCAAACCCUGCGUAACGGAGUCGUCGGAGUUUAAACAAAUUAAACAAAACUUUCAACAACGGAUCUCUUGGUUCGGGCAUCGAUGAAGAACGCAGC